UUGCCCGAUGAUUAUAAAAAAGACGCGUUAUUAAGAGGACUUAUGCUGGAGUUCUUUUCUUUUUUUCUCUCUUUUCUGUCUUCUUUUUCUUUCUUUGAAUGUCCAGCGUCCUGUGAGCGAAGAUUAUGAGAUAUGAGGGCAA
RNAcentral lists this small nucleolar RNA (142 nucleotides) under Sciurus vulgaris (Eurasian red squirrel). RNAcentral describes it as "Small nucleolar RNA SNORD97 (ENSSVLG00005012419.1)". It matches the Rfam family "Small nucleolar RNA SNORD97". The record is from Rfam by way of RNAcentral. Lineage: Eukaryota; Metazoa; Chordata; Mammalia; Rodentia; Sciuridae.